UCGAGCGGUAACAGGAAUUAGCUUGCUAAUUUGCUGACGAGCGGCGGACGGGUGAGUAACGCGUAGGAAUCUGCCUGGUAGUGGGGGACAACAUGUGGAAACGCAUGCUAAUACCGCAUACGCCCUACGGGGGAAAGGAGGGGAUCUUCGGACCUUUCGCUAUCAGAUGAGCCUGCGUGAGAUUAGCUAGUUGGUGGGGUAAAGGCUCACCAAGGCGACGAUCUCUAGCUGGUCUGAGAGGAUGAUCAGCCACACUGGGACUGAGACACGGCCCAG
This 276-nucleotide ribosomal RNA is filed under the name Marinomonas sp. RNAcentral describes it as "partial 16S ribosomal RNA". It matches the Rfam family "Bacterial small subunit ribosomal RNA", at positions 62 to 334 of the family's 1533-position model. Lineage: Bacteria; Pseudomonadati; Pseudomonadota; Gammaproteobacteria; Oceanospirillales; Oceanospirillaceae. The record is from RNAcentral.